UCUCCGUAGGUGAACCUGCGGAGGGAUCAUUACAAGUGACCCCGGUCUUACCACCGGGAUGUUCAUAACCCUUUGUUGUCCGUCUCUGUUGCCUCCGGGGCGACCCUGCCUUCGGGCGGGGGCUCCGGGUGGACACUUAAAACUCUUGCGUAACUUUGCAGUCUGAGUAAACUUAAUUAAUAAAUUAAAACUUUUAACAACGGAUCUCUUGGUUCUG
RNAcentral lists this unclassified non-coding RNA (217 nucleotides) under plant metagenome. RNAcentral describes it as "partial contains small subunit ribosomal RNA, internal transcribed spacer 1, and 5.8S ribosomal RNA". The record is from RNAcentral.